Molecule: long non-coding RNA, 363 nt
Filed under: Gossypium barbadense (sea-island cotton)
Lineage: Eukaryota; Viridiplantae; Streptophyta; Magnoliopsida; Malvales; Malvaceae
Description: long non-coding RNA (GBAR_LNC018514)
Source: RNAcentral
GAUAAUGCAUUAAGACUAACAUGUAGUUGAUUGAUGAUAAAGAGUUGUCAUUGAUAUGGAGUGUCAGAAUCGAUGCAUGAAUAUGUGUGUUAGAGAACAACAUAUUGGACUGACCCGUUAUGAGUAUGUUUCUUGGAUUAUUAUGUAAUUGUCACGACAUUACUCAUAGUGAUUAAUAUGUAUAUGAUCCUCAGACUUGAGAUCAUCAUAAUCCCAACAUCGUGAGUUGUAUAUUUUGAUACAGUCAAACGUACACCGUAACUGGUUAUUCUAUAAAGGCUGAUGUUGGAUAUUCCACAAUCUAUGUAGAGGGAUAUGGUUGAUCGAUAUAGGAUAAGUCCCUCCUACAUAAUGGGAGUAAUA